RNAcentral lists this transfer RNA (74 nucleotides) under Prochlorococcus marinus str. MIT 9301. RNAcentral describes it as "tRNA-Arg (TCT) (tRNA-Arg-TCT-1-1)". It matches the Rfam family "tRNA". From Rfam's summary of the family: Transfer RNA (tRNA) molecules are approximately 80 nucleotides in length. Their secondary structure includes four short double-helical elements and three loops (D, anti-codon, and T loops). Further hydrogen bonds mediate the characteristic L-shaped molecular structure. tRNAs have two regions of fundamental functional importance: the anti-codon, which is responsible for specific mRNA codon recognition, and the 3' end, to which the tRNAs corresponding amino acid is attached (by aminoacyl-tRNA synthetases). tRNAs cope with the degeneracy of the genetic code in two manners: having more than one tRNA (with a specific anti-codon) for a particular amino acid; and 'wobble' base-pairing, i.e. permitting non-standard base-pairing at the 3rd anti-codon position. Lineage: Bacteria; Bacillati; Cyanobacteriota; Cyanophyceae; Synechococcales; Prochlorococcaceae. The record is from Rfam by way of RNAcentral.
GCUUCCUUAGCUCAGCUGGAUAGAGCAACUGCCUUCUAAGCAGUGGGUCGCUGGUUCGAAUCCAGCAGGAAGCG